AUGCGGGGUUUCGUUGACAUCUCUUGCCUAAACGUUGGGGUUCUCUACUUGAUCCCCAAAGUUCAGGGGGUGGAGUGUAUUAGACAAUUUAGGCCCAUAGUGCACAUUAACAUUCCAUUUAAAAUUUUCUCUAAGGCUUGUUCCACUCGUCUCUCUCCGGUAGCUCAUCGUAUCAUUAGUAGGAGUCAGUCCGCCUUUAUCCACGGCCGCAAUAUUCUGGAGGGGUCGCUCGCCCUUCAGGAAAUAGUUCACUCGCUCAAACGUUCUUGCCAGCCAGCCAUCUUACUGAAACCGGACUUCGAGAAGGCGUAUGACCGCGUGAACUGGGACUUUUUCAGACAAGUUCUCCUGGACAAGGGUUUCUCAUCGGUUUGGGUUCACCGCAUGAUGCAAUUGGUCUCGGGGGGCCAAGCGGCGAUUGCGGUGAACAGAGAAGUAGGGAACUUCUUCCGCAACAAGCAUGGGCUUCGUCAAGGGGACCCUUCCACCCCACUGUUGUUUAAUUUCGUGGCCGAUGCCCUGGGCGCCAUGUUAGAUAAAGCCCGUGCUGCUGGCCACAUCAGGGGAGUGGCCGGUAACUUGAUCACCGGGGAGGGGGGUGUCGCACCUGCAGUACGUGAACGACACACUCCUUCUUCUCGAUCCGGACACGCACAGUAUUGCCAUGAUUAA
Molecule: ribosomal RNA, 672 nt
Filed under: Triticum aestivum (bread wheat)
Lineage: Eukaryota; Viridiplantae; Streptophyta; Magnoliopsida; Poales; Poaceae
Description: partial small subunit ribosomal RNA
Source: RNAcentral